RNAcentral lists this transfer RNA (83 nucleotides) under Lutibaculum baratangense AMV1. RNAcentral's name for it is "Phyllobacteriaceae bacterium AMV1 tRNA". It matches the Rfam family "tRNA". From Rfam's summary of the family: Transfer RNA (tRNA) molecules are approximately 80 nucleotides in length. Their secondary structure includes four short double-helical elements and three loops (D, anti-codon, and T loops). Further hydrogen bonds mediate the characteristic L-shaped molecular structure. tRNAs have two regions of fundamental functional importance: the anti-codon, which is responsible for specific mRNA codon recognition, and the 3' end, to which the tRNAs corresponding amino acid is attached (by aminoacyl-tRNA synthetases). tRNAs cope with the degeneracy of the genetic code in two manners: having more than one tRNA (with a specific anti-codon) for a particular amino acid; and 'wobble' base-pairing, i.e. permitting non-standard base-pairing at the 3rd anti-codon position. Lineage: Bacteria; Pseudomonadati; Pseudomonadota; Alphaproteobacteria; Hyphomicrobiales; Tepidamorphaceae. The record is from Rfam by way of RNAcentral.
GCGGACGUGGCGGAACAGGUAGACGCAAGGGACUUAAAAUCCCUCGGGGACUCCCCGUGCGGGUUCGAUUCCCGCCGUCCGCA